GAAUUAAGGUGAUGCUGGCCUCAUAGAACAAAUUUGGAAGUACUCCAUCUCUUUCUCUCUUUCCAAACAGCUUUAGUAGAAUAGGUAUGGUUUCUUAUUUAAACGUUUGAUAGAAUUCCCCUGGGAAGCCAUCUGGCCCUGGACUUUUGUGUCUUGGGAGGGUUUUGAUGACUGCUUCAAUUUCCUCCCUGGUUAUUGGCCUGUUCAGGUUUUCUAUUUCUUCCUGUUCCAGUUUUGGUAGUUUGUGGCUUUCCAGGAAUGCGUCCAUUUCUUCUAGAUUGCCGAAUUUAUUGGCGUAUAGCUGUUCAUAAUAUGUUUUUAAAAUGGUUUGUAUUUCCUUGGUGUUGGUAGUGAUCUCUCCUUUCUCAUUCAUGAUUUUAUUAAUUUGAGUCUUCUCUCUUUUCUUUUUAAUAAGGCUGGCUAAUGGUUUAUCUAUCUUAUUAAUUCUUUCAAAGAACCAACUCCUGGUUUUGUUGAUCUGUUCCACAGUUCUUCUGGUCUCGAUUUUGUUGAGUUCUGCUCGAAUCUUUAUUAACUCUCUUCUUCUGCUGGGUAUAGGGUGCAUCUUGCUGUUUUUUCUCUAGCUCCUUUAUGUGUAUGGUUAGCUUUUGUAUUUGAGUUCUUUCCAGUUUUUGAAUGGAUGCUUGUAUUGCGAUGUAUUUCCCCCUUAGGACUGCUUGCUGCGUCCCAAAGAUUUUGAACGGUUGUAUCUUCAUUCUCAUUAGUUUCCAUGAAUCUUUUUAAUUCUUCCUUAAUUUCCUGGUUGACCCUUUCAUCUUUUAGCAGGAUGGUCCUUAACCUCCACGUGUUUGAGGUCCUUCCAAACUUCUUGUUGUGAUUUAGUUCUGAUUUCAAGGCAUUAUGGUCUGAGAAUACGCAGGGGACGAUCCCAAUCUUUUGGUAUCGUUCAGACCUGAUUUGUGACCCAGUAUGUGUUCUAUUCUGGAGAAAGUUCCAUGUGCACUUGAGAAGAAUGUGUAUUCAGUUGAGUUUGGAUGUAAAGUUCUGUAGAUAUCUGUGAAAUCCAUCUGGUCCAGUGUAUCAUUUAAAGCUCUUGUUUCUUUGGAGAUGUUGUGUUUAGAAGACCUAUCAAGUAUAGAAAGCACUAGAUUGAAGUCACCAAGUAUAAGUGUAUUAUUAUCUAAGUAUGUCUUAACUUUGGUUAUUAAUUGAUUGAUAUAUGUGGCAGCUCCCAAAUUCGGGGCAUAUAUAUUGAGGAUUUUUAAGUCCUCUUGUUGGAUAGAUCCUUUAAGUAUGAUAUAGUGUCCCUCUACAUCUCUCACUACAGUCUUCGGGGUAAUUUUAGUUUAUCUGAUAUAAGGAUGGCUACCCCUGCUUGUUUUGAGGACCAUUUGAAUGGUAAAUGGUUCUCCAACCUUUUAUUUUCAGGCUGUAGGUGUCCUUCUGUCUAAAAUGAGUCUCUUGUAGACAGCAAAUAGAUGGGUCCUGCUUUUUUAUCCAGUCUGAAACCCUGCACCUUUUGAUGGGGUCAUUAAGCCCGUUCACGUUCAGAGUUACUAUUGAAAGAUAUGAGUUUAGUGUCAUCAUGAUAUCUAUUCAGUCCUUGUUUUUUGGAUUGUUCCACUGGACUUCUUCUUAAAGGGGAAUUUUAAGAGUCCCCCUUAAAAUUUCUUGCAGAACUGGUUUGGAGGUCACAUAUUCUUUCAGUUCCUGCCUGUCUUGGAAGCUCUUUAUCUCUCCUUGUAUUCUGAAUGAGAGCCUUGCUGGAUAAAGUAUUCUUGGUUGCAUGUUCUUCUCAUUUAGACCCUGAAUAUAUCCUGCCAGCCCUUUCUGGCCUGCCAGGUCUCUGUGGAGAGGGCUGCUGUUACCCUAAUACUCCUCCCCAUAAAAGUCAGGGAUUUCUUGUCUCUUACUGCUUUAAGGAUCUUCUCUUUAUCUUUGGAAUUUGCAAGCUUCACUAUUAAAUGUCGAGUUGUUGAACGGUUUUUAUUGAUUUUAGGGGGGGAUGUCUCUAUUUCCUGGAUCUGAAUGCCUGUUUCCCUUCCCAGAUUGGGAAAGUUUUCAGCUGUGAUUUGUUCAAAUACAUAUUCUGGCCCUCUGUCCCUUUCGGCGCCCUCGGGAACCCCAAUUAAACGUAGGUUUUUCUUCCUCAGGCUGUCGUUUAUUUCCCUUAAUCUAUCCUCAUGGUCUUUUAAUUGUUGGUCUCUUUUUUCUCAGUUUCCCUCUUUGCCAUCAACUUGUCUUCUAUGUCACUCACUCGUUCUUCCACCUCGUUAACCGUCGUCGUUAGGACUUCUAGUUUGGAUUGCAUCUCAUUCAAUUGAUUUUUAAUUUCUGCCUGAUUAGAUCUAAAUUCUGCAGUCAUGAAGUCUCUUGAGUACUUUAUGCUUUCUUCUAGAGCCACCAGUAGCUUUAUAAGAGUGCUUCUGAAUUGGCUUUCUGACAUUGAAUUGUAAUCCAAAUUUUGUAACUCUGUGGGAGAGAGGACUGUUUCUGAUUCUUUCUUUUGAGGUGAGGUCUUCCUUCUAGUCAUUUUGCUCAGUGCAGAGUGGCCAAAA
Molecule: long non-coding RNA, 2519 nt
Filed under: Canis lupus familiaris (dog)
Lineage: Eukaryota; Metazoa; Chordata; Mammalia; Carnivora; Canidae
Description: lncRNA (ENSCAFG00845007776.1)
Source: RNAcentral